Falco peregrinus (peregrine falcon) is the source of this 2529-nucleotide long non-coding RNA. RefSeq lists it as uncharacterized. The record is from RefSeq and is a predicted model, not a curated record. The transcript is spliced from 2 exons. Lineage: Eukaryota; Metazoa; Chordata; Aves; Falconiformes; Falconidae.
UGUGCCUGGAGUAGUACUGGUAAUAUUGGUGGCUUUAUUCAUGGAGGAAGUGAGAAUGAUUCUGGGCUUGGCAGGAAACAUUCAUUUGGGGGCGGGGGGAGGGGAAAGUCACGUGUGAAAAACAGUUUUCCUUCUUAGGUCACCCCUUUCAUAUUUUGUCUUCAUGGAGGUUUUCUCCACCCCUUCCCUUCUAGAGAAAAGGCAAAAGCAAGCCCUGCUUGAAGCAACCAGCCUUCCCAGCGGAGCAGAUGUCCCCGCCACUGCAGGGGGGAGACUUCAACACACCAACGCUACCAGUAGCGCUGCGGUUCGACGCUGUUGGGAACGAAACUCUCACCUCCGCGCUUCCAACAGAGCAACACAGCUGUGUUUCCUGGAAGAAUAUUGAAAGGCAAUUGGCAGUGGACAGAGAAGAGUCUGCUCCUCCUGGAUAUGGUGUCAGCUGCCCUCUCCUUAGCUGUCCUGUCAUGGCUGUCAGCCCUCAAUAUGGCUCCCCACACUCUGCAGGACAUGGGGACAGGACUUGUGGCCCUGCGGCCCUGCAAUGAGCUCACAGCAGCAUGGUCAUCCCAGGCCAGUUGACAUUAACAAAUACAAAGCUGAGUCUCACAAGUGAGGAGACAAUCAUAGUGGUCAUACUCACUGCAUAUCACAACAUGUCUGCCUUGGUCUGCAUGGCUCAGGUAGCAGGUCAGAGCAUCCUGGAAGAGCCUCACGCAGCCCUUUCACUGGUACAGUGCAGCAAGGAGGAGAGCAUUGUGUUGGCCAGCUGCCUGUGCUGUCCCCAUCCCUCAGAAGCCAUCUCCCUGCACUCAUCACCUGCUCUUCAUCAUCAAAAAGGCUAAAGUAAUUUGCAGGUCUCUGACUGCCCCCAGCCCUCCCCUUCCUACCAGACCCAGACCAUACUGUCAUUCCAGAGGGUGAAAUUUUCCUUUAUUGGAUGCUCUGUUAAUGGCCCUGAGCAAAGAAACCUCUCUGGGGCUCCAGGAGGAGGGAAGGGAGGGAGGUGUUGCAUCGCAUCUGCAGAACAGCAGCCUCCCUCCCCUAGACACAGCCACCCUUGCCAGCCCAUCCCCAGCUCCAUACAGACAUCAGGACCAACCUCAGAAAUGCACAUGGACCUCCACAGCGUUCAACUUUACACCUGAACCCCUUCUACAUAAGCAAGAGCUCUGUUAUCUGUACUCUUGUCAGAGAAAGAAGCUGUGUUGCAAAUGAAAGUGCUGAUAAGGAGGGCUUUAUCUUUCCCCUGGUUAUUUUGUGAUAAGAUUUGUUGCUUGCAGGCACACCUUUCUCACUGGCUGCCAAAGAAGCCAAUUAGAGUGACAGCAGCUCUGAGACAGGUUGCAUGGUACCCACCUGUACCUUCAGGGUGACUCCAGGACUUCACGGCCACCAAAGGCAUCUGGAGACUCAUUGUUACUGGUGUCAGCGAGAUGUUACAUCUGCUGAGACACAGAGCUUGCAGGGCUCUGGGACAGCAGCAGUGGCAGCAGUAUCUCCAGAGCCAAAAAAAAUCCAUGAAUUCCCCAAACUGAGGGUGACCUCAGGGCCUGGCCAGCCCUGUGCUCUGGGAGAAGGCCCUUGGUAAGUCAGAUAGUGGCAAUAGAGACCUCCCCCCCAAGAAGAGAAAGACCCUCUGUGUCAGGAUAUUACAGGAAUGUAAGAGAGCCACCCCCUGUGCCACGCACAAGAGAGGAGGCCAUAAGACCCAAAAUGUCGAAGAGAGAGACAGCACCCCAUUCCUUCCUGGCUUGAGGAGAAAUCCUGUGUGCGUGGUGGGACAGCCAGGGACACAGCAGCUGUGCAGAGUGGCUCCUGUCUUUGCCCCAGAUAGCAUUCCCUUGACAAAAGUUCAGCCAAGUUUCAGCCUGUCACACUUGGCUGUUUUCAACCAUCUUUUGUUUGCCUAAUGCUGCAGCUCAGCAAGGUUGGAGUGAGGCUGCCCCAAAAUUGAAAACUAAAUGGUUUCCAGGCUUUAGGAAAGCAAGCUGCUUGCUGGGGAGGAAAACAGACUGUGAGAAAGCCCUUCGGACUGAAGAUAAUAAUGCAAGGGCUCAUAGGGGUUAUCGGGUACAGGAAAAACCCCAAGCUGGGUAGCUCCAGUGAGCCAAAAGUGGCAGUGGGUUUCAGGUUCGCAGUCUUGCAUUUCUGCAGAUCAGAAAUGCCUUUCAGAGACAUGGAGAGAUGCUGGUCUGUAUGUUUAAACUGCAGUGUGGUGGGGCACCAUGCAUCCCUCCGUGAGACCACCACCCAGGUGAAACAGCCUGCUGGCAAGAGAGGGCAGGGGGGCUCAGGAGCUGCCGGCACUCCACUCCCAAAGGACUGCCUUUGUGCAAGCAACUACAUUCUUCCUCAUCAUAACUUGAAAGAAGCAUGGAAAGUGGAGUGACCAGGAAAGUGUAAACUUUAUUGUUCACAAGGAAGGAGCUGGCUCAAAUCACUCAGCAGGACUUAUCAGAGUUUGUCAGGCAAGAGUCAAAACAUGGAAAAAAAAGAGAUGAUUAAAAUAGAACAUGUUUGCUGUAA